Molecule: RNase P RNA, 355 nt
Filed under: Candidatus Kaiserbacteria bacterium
Lineage: Bacteria; Candidatus Kaiseribacteriota
Description: RNase P RNA component class A
Rfam family: Bacterial RNase P class A
About the family: Ribonuclease P (RNase P) is a ubiquitous endoribonuclease, found in archaea, bacteria and eukarya as well as chloroplasts and mitochondria. Its best characterised activity is the generation of mature 5'-ends of tRNAs by cleaving the 5'-leader elements of precursor-tRNAs.
Source: RNAcentral
UGUAUCAACACGAUGAUUGCCUCACAUUCGUGUGGGGAGGAAAGUCCGGACACACCCAUAUUAAUUUAUGGAGCAGGGUAGCGGGUAACACCCGUCGUACAGUAAUGUAAGAGGUGCGAGCAGAGACGUCCCGAGCGAAAGCGGAGGAAUUCCUUUGGGAAUAGCCUCUUAGGAAACUAAGAGGGUGAAACGGCUAAAUCCUUACCUGUGUGCAAGACCGCGCCUCAUGGCCUCAAAAUCCCUUCGGGAUUUUGAGGCCAUGAGGAGAGUCGCAUGAGAUGUACAGUAAUGUACACCCUAGGUAGAUAAUCAUCCGGGCCUUGGCCCGACAGAAUCCGGCUUAUGUGUACAAAAA